GGCCGGUUGGCGCAAUGGUAGCGUAUAGACCUCCUACUCCAACUGCUGGUUCACUGAAUCAGUUGUAGAGGUCAGUCUAGGGUUGCGGGUUCGAGUCCCGUGCUGGUCG
This is a non-coding RNA of Nemania sp. NC0429, 109 nucleotides long. Lineage: Eukaryota; Fungi; Ascomycota; Sordariomycetes; Xylariales; Xylariaceae. The record is from the annotation of a GenBank genome assembly.